Molecule: long non-coding RNA, 1288 nt
Organism: Phyllostomus discolor (pale spear-nosed bat)
Lineage: Eukaryota; Metazoa; Chordata; Mammalia; Chiroptera; Phyllostomidae
Exons: 2
Source: RefSeq, a predicted model, not a curated record
CCCCAGGUGCCUCUGCGGGCGGUUUCCCUGGGAACCUGAGCGUGCUGGCUCUAAGCCUUGUUUCCCGGACUCGUCCGGCAGUCUCGGGUUCACUUCGAGUGUGCUGGGCUCACCAGGAGUCGGAAAAUGAACCUUCGAUGUGAGAGGGAAAGUGAAGAUACACACCCAAGCUCCCAAAAUCUGAUCAAAAAGAGGCAGUCACCAUAUGCGUCUGUAUGUUUCAUGGGAUAUACAUGUGGACCAGGGUCAUCAUUCUGUAUAUUGUUCUCAUCUUUUAAAGGCAAUAAAGAAGAGCAGAUUAGGUGUAUGUCCAUAGGAAUCAGAAUUCCUGGGUUUGAAUUUCCCACCUCUAGUUGUGUGUGUGACCUUGGGUGAGUUGAUCUCUAAGAACCCCAAUUUUCUCAUCAGAAAUGGGGAUAGUUAAGAGUACCUACUCACUGAGUCAUUGAGAGAGUAAGUGGUUUAAUACAUGUAAAACACUUGGUGUACUGCAGGACACACCAUGCCUAAUGAAUAUUAGUUUUAAUCAUUAAUAACAUUACUAUUAUCACCCACCUAUAUCCAAACAGAAACCUAGAAAGUCAUUAUUUAUUCUUUUAUACCACAUGUCCAAUAUAUCAAAUCCUAUCCAUUCUAGCUUUCAAAUAAUUCUUAAAUUUAUCGCACCUCAUGUUCACUGCCACUAAAUAUGACCUUCCUCAUUAAAAGACUACUAACUCCCUUAUACUAUGUUGUCCGUGUCAUGUCAAGAAUGAAUGUCAUUCAUUCAAAUAUUUAUUGCGCUCCAUCUUUGUACCUGCUGCUGGACACAAAACCAUUGCACACCAUCCUACCACAAAAACAUAGUCAGGGAGCCGAAUAUGUCAAUAACAGCGAAAUGGAAUCAAUAAACUCAACAUGCAGCAAACUACUUGGGUUCCCAGUCUUGACACACUCUCUCAAGCAUCUUGUUUUUGCAUAUGCUUCUCCUUUUUCUUGUUACAUCCUGACCUCCCACCUCUUCUUUACCUACCUCAUUCCUGCUUCUCCUUCAUUAUUCAGACCAGGCAUCAGUUCUGUUGUCUGCUCUUCCCUGCGGCUUGCCACCCAGCCCUAACACACCCAUGCCCCCAUAUGAGCUAGGUGCCCCUAACUGUGUUCCCAUACCACCCUAUCUCUUUGUAGCAUUCAUCACAUAGAAUGAUAAUUGUAGUUAUGUCUAUUUUCCUAAUUACUAUGAACUUCUUGAGAACAGGCACAAGGCAUGACAUGUAGUAGGACUGGCUCAAUAAAUGCAAAAUGAAUGAAU